AAAGUAAACAGGACAAUCGCUGGUGGAGUACCGCAAGGUCCCACGGGAGGAAAGUCCGAGCUCCGCAGGGCAAGAUGCCAGUUAACGGCUGGUGGGGGCAACCCUAAGGCUAGUGCCACAGAAAUGUUAGACCGCCGAUGGAGGUAUAUCCUCACAGGCAAGGAUGCAACGGUGCGGUAAGAGCGCACCAGCAACAUGGAGACAUGUUGGCUAGGUAAACCCCAUCUGGAGCAAGACCUGAUAGGAGAUCAACACGCAAGUGUAGCUGUUGCCCGCAGUGAUUUCGGGUAGGUCGCUUGAGCCUACUAGCGAUGGUAGGCCUAGACAGAUGAUUGUCACUCCAACAGUGGGAGAUGUUACAAGCCAUCGAUUACCACUAGGAGAACAGAACUCGGCUUAUUGUUUGCUUUCCGU
This 414-nucleotide RNase P RNA is filed under the name Baia soyae. Its description in RNAcentral is "Bacterial RNase P class A". It matches the Rfam family "Bacterial RNase P class A". From Rfam's summary of the family: Ribonuclease P (RNase P) is a ubiquitous endoribonuclease, found in archaea, bacteria and eukarya as well as chloroplasts and mitochondria. The record is from Rfam by way of RNAcentral. Lineage: Bacteria; Bacillati; Bacillota; Bacilli; Caryophanales; Thermoactinomycetaceae.